Molecule: ribosomal RNA, 496 nt
Filed under: uncultured bacterium
Lineage: Bacteria
Description: partial 16S ribosomal RNA
Rfam family: Bacterial small subunit ribosomal RNA
Source: RNAcentral
ACGAACGCUGGCGGCGUGCCUAAUACAUGCAAGUAGAACGCUGAAGAGAGGAGCUUGCUCUUCUUGGAUGAGUUGCGAACGGGUGAGUAACGCGUAGGUAACCUGCCUUGUAGCGGGGGAUAACUAUUGGAAACGAUAGCUAAUACCGCAUAACAAUGGAUGACACAUGUCAUUUAUUUGAAAGGGGCAAUUGCUCCACUACAAGAUGGACCUGCGUUGUAUUAGCUAGUAGGUGAGGUAACGGCUCACCUAGGCGACGAUACAUAGCCGACCUGAGAGGGUGAUCGGCCACACUGGGACUGAGACACGGCCCAGACUCCUACGGGAGGCAGCAGUAGGGAAUCUUCGGCAAUGGGGGCAACCCUGACCGAGCAACGCCGCGUGAGUGAAGAAGGUUUUCGGAUCGUAAAGCUCUGUUGUAAGUCAAGAACGAGUGUGAGAGUGGAAAGUUUACACUGUGACGGUAGCUGACCAGAAAGGGACGGCUAACUACGUG